UUCCACUAUCUUGUCAUCUUGUAGAGUUCAAAUCUAUAUAUAUCGGGUUUGUGUAAAUCAGUUCAAUUAAGGAAAAUAAUUUCUUCUCACUUUCUUUGGAUUGUGUAUGGUGUGGCUUUGGCGUGUUGGUUCUUUGGGGAUGACUUUACUCUCAAAAUUGCGUGUCCCAAAGCUUUGGGUGUUCCUCUUGUUCAAUGUUUGCCAUCUUUGUCAAUUGGAAUGAAUUUGUUUCUCAUUGGGUCACUAGGUUAUGCGGCAUUCUUGAGAUUCAUUAUUUGCGGCAUUGUCAUGUUUUUAUAUUAUCUAUUGGUUGGUGUCCGUGCGACUUAUGAUCUGGCUCAUCAAAAUCAAGAAGAAUCAAAGGUUGGAGAGAGUACAUAGCUUGCCGUGCCGAUGAAGGGGAGAAUAAGGAGAGACGCGAAAUAGAUUCUCAAAAGAUUGGUGAUGCAAUGAAAGCUCUCCUUGGAUUCAAAAAGAGAGAUGGACAGGACAUCCUUGAUGAAAUGAAGUCUAUGAAGACAUACCAUUGUAAGUGCCUGAGUGGGGAUGAGAUAUGCUCGAGGAAUGGCAAAACAUAGCAGUGGAGAAGGUGGCAUUGUUGUGCCAUAGAUUUCUAUUUUGGGGAAAUCUCUUAUGCAUUUGAAUUUAGGAAGAUGCUCAAAUAGGCGGAUGGUUGGCACAAUUAU
This is a long non-coding RNA of Tripterygium wilfordii, 686 nucleotides long. RefSeq lists it as uncharacterized. The transcript has 3 exons. Lineage: Eukaryota; Viridiplantae; Streptophyta; Magnoliopsida; Celastrales; Celastraceae. The record is from RefSeq and is a predicted model, not a curated record.